UGGCCUGGGUAAUGAGACAUGAGUAUCACUAAUGAAACCAUCUGGUAAUUCUGUGCCAACACCUGUUGAUGUCAAGGAAGUGCCUCCUUGGGUUGGAGAUAUUGGCUGGGCUUCAAGUCUAUAAAACAUAGCACCAUACACACUGAGUAACUGGUGGAAAAAGAAUCUUAUGCAUAUGCAGUGCCUAUAUUUUGAAUUGCCGCAUAAGCAUAUUCUUCAAAUUCAUCGUUGCAUGGACAGCAGCAGAAGGCAGCCA
RNAcentral lists this unclassified non-coding RNA (256 nucleotides) under Hevea brasiliensis (rubber tree). Lineage: Eukaryota; Viridiplantae; Streptophyta; Magnoliopsida; Malpighiales; Euphorbiaceae. The record is from RNAcentral.